This 484-nucleotide ribosomal RNA is filed under the name uncultured bacterium. RNAcentral describes it as "partial 16S ribosomal RNA". It matches the Rfam family "Bacterial small subunit ribosomal RNA", at positions 30 to 507 of the family's 1533-position model. The record is from RNAcentral.
AUUGAACGCUGGCGGCAGGCCUAACACAUGCAAGUCGAGCGGAUGAAGGGAGCUUGCUCCUGGAUUCAGCGGCGGACGGGUGAGUAAUGCCUAGGAAUCUGCCUGGUAGUGGGGGAUAACGUCCGGAAACGGGCGCUAAAACCGCAUACGCCCAGAGGGAGAAAGUGGGGGAGGUUCGGACCUCAGGCUAUCAGAUGAGCCUAGGUCGGAUUAGCUAGUUGGUGGGGUAAAGGCCUACCAAGGCGACGAUCCGUAACUGGUCUGAGAGGAUGAUCAGCCACACUGGAACUGAGACACGGUCCAGACUCCUACGGGAGGCAGCAGUGGGGAAUUUUGGACAAUGGGCGAAAGCCUGAUCCAGCCAUGCCGCGUGUGUGAAGAAGGUCUUCGGAUUGUAAAGCACUUUAAGUUGGGAGGAAGGGCAGUAAGUUAAUACCUUGCUGUUUUGACGUUACCAACAGAAUAAGCACCGGCUAACUUCGUG